UAAUUCAAUCCAAUUCAGAGGCUCAGAUCUGAAACAAAGAUGGGAUCAAUCGUUGAGAAAAACCACCGCCAUGAAUGACGGCACUGCAUUUUGAUUCAAUCUCAGUGAAUGCCACGCCAUCGGCAAGUAUUCUUCCACGACGAUCGAUCCAUCUCGAUCCACACUCCGAAACUAUCGUCAUCAUUGCCUCUUGAGAGAGAGAGAGAAAAAGAGGAUCAAAGAAACAAAGAAAGAAAA
This 237-nucleotide long non-coding RNA is filed under the name Medicago truncatula (barrel medic). RNAcentral's name for it is "lncRNA gene39961". The record is from RNAcentral. Lineage: Eukaryota; Viridiplantae; Streptophyta; Magnoliopsida; Fabales; Fabaceae.